CAGCAGCCGCGGGAACACGUAGGUGGCGAGCGUUGUCCGGAAUCAUUGGGCGUAAAGGGAGCGCAGGCGGGCAAGUAAGUCUUUCUUAAAAGUGCGGGGCUCAACCCCGUGAUGGGAAAGAAACUACAUGUCUUGAGUACAGGAGAGGAAAGCGGAAUUCCCAGUGUAGCGGUGAAAUGCGUAGAUAUUGGGAGGAACACCAGUGGCGAAGGCGGCUUUCUGGACUGCAACUGACGCUGAGGCUCGAAAGCCAGGGGAGCGAACGGGAUUAGAUACCCGUGUAGUCCCUGUCUCUUAUACA
Molecule: ribosomal RNA, 301 nt
Filed under: uncultured bacterium
Lineage: Bacteria
Description: partial 16S ribosomal RNA
Rfam family: Bacterial small subunit ribosomal RNA
Source: RNAcentral